AUGCUCACUUCAACAGCACAUACACUAAAACUAGAACAAAACAGAGGAUAUUAGCAUGGCACCUGCGCAAGGAUAACACGCAAAUUAAUGAAGUAUUCCCUAACGUU
Small nuclear RNA from Gracilinanus agilis (Agile Gracile Mouse Opossum), 107 nucleotides. Lineage: Eukaryota; Metazoa; Chordata; Mammalia; Didelphimorphia; Didelphidae. The record is from RefSeq and is a predicted model, not a curated record.